This 741-nucleotide ribosomal RNA is filed under the name Triticum aestivum (bread wheat). RNAcentral describes it as "partial small subunit ribosomal RNA". The record is from RNAcentral. Lineage: Eukaryota; Viridiplantae; Streptophyta; Magnoliopsida; Poales; Poaceae.
AUGGUUGGAGGUUUCUAUAAACCACGUCGGCCGUCGCCAACACAGCCCACUCCCAUCCCCGCACCGCCCAAGGAGCCUCCCAAAAUCCGGUUUUCAGCUGCGGCGGCCGCUGCUUCCCGCCGGCGACGAACUAAUGGUGGAUGCUGGUCUUUGUUUUUGCUGGAUGCCAUGACAGAUAAGGGCAACAAGUUGGGUGUCGCCGGCCGGAGGAGUCGCAGGGUGGCAUGCGCCGGUGGCGUGAGGCAUGCUCGGUCUUCCCAGUCGUCCGACAGGUUCAACCCCAAGGCGCCCGAUUGGACAAAAAGGUUGCGUCUCGGCAGUGCACCACCCGACAGGAUGCCGUGCCCCUCUAGGAUGAGUGCACAAGAGAAGUCGAUUCGCAAAUACUCGGAGGAGCCAACACAAAGUGUUAUUACACCAGAACUAGGAAUUAGUUUCGACUCACUUGGCGAUGGAUAUGAUUUCUACACCUUGUAUUCGUGCGAGAUCGGCUUGGGAGUUAGAUCAGCUGAUUUGCAAGUUUCAUGCUAUACUGAGAAGCAACUAUAUGUAACAUGCAUCAACAUAUCUCUGAUGCUCGCUGUCAGUGUACUGAAACCUUCAUCUGAGUUUGAGGAGGAUGUGCUCCAUGCAAGAGGAAGGACAAACGGGGUAGUAGAAAUUCAUCUUAGGGGAAGCAAGCAGAGAACAGUAGAUAGUGCCUGCCGUUCUGGAAUCAGCCUGGCACAGAAUAAUGCCUGA